This 2006-nucleotide long non-coding RNA is filed under the name Olea europaea subsp. europaea. Lineage: Eukaryota; Viridiplantae; Streptophyta; Magnoliopsida; Lamiales; Oleaceae. The record is from RNAcentral.
GAUUAUAGAUCAAAGUGAUAAGUCCCCAAAAACAUAAACCUACCGUACAAUCAAGAAAUUGAAAAAAAAAAUUUCCACAUAUUUCUUCCUAUCAAUUUCAAAAUUCAGAGUCAAAAUGUAGUCUGUCAGAUAAUAACUACGAAAUUUCCUGUUGUUCCUUCUUAAAUUUUGCCAAAAAAAUCAGAAAUCUACAUCUCUAUACCACCUUAGAAAUUUAUUUAUUUAUUAUUUUGGUGUUAAUUUCGUCUCCUCUUUCAAUUUCAUUCUACCAUCAGUACAGGGAGCGCAUAUUUCCAGGUAACAUGCUCAUUUUACUUUGAAGCUUUUUAUUAUGGAAUUUUCUGAAUUUUGAUUCCAAAGUAGCAGUAAAUAAUUCUUGAUUUGAGAUUUUUGUUUGCUUUUUCGUUAAAUGUUUAUGAUUUAAGUAAUUUCUAUUUAAAAUUAUUCAGUAGCUCAAUAAGUAGUUAUCUUCUAAUUCUUAAUCGUUAGCCAUUUUCAUUUUGUUGUUUUGUACAUCAUGUCAAUUCUAGUUUGACAUUUUCAAAUAGAAUAUUUUUGCCUAAGUUUACAACGUGUUUAUAAGAACUAAAAUUAAUGUUUAGAUGUUACCUUUAAAUUUUUGUUUGCUAAAUAUGUAUUAGAAAGUGCAAAUGUUCGCAUUUCCUUGUUAAUUUCAUGUCAAUUUCAAUUUCAACUUUUCAUUUCCAGGGUUUCAAUUUAUAUUGUUAAUAUUCAAAGGAUUGGUACUGAAAUCGGUAGUACAUUUAGGGUGGUGUCCUUGGUGUUGCGGUUUGCUUCUGGUGGUGGCUUGAAUUUUUUGACGAUUUUGCAUUGUCAGCUAUUAUUUUGUCAUAUUAUGAGUGAAAUAGUGUAAUUUGGCUUUUUGUAACAAUAAUUUGUUAUGAAGAGAAGGGAACUCAGCUGACUUGGGGAGAAAAGAAGAAGAGGAAUCCCAGAAACAGAGAAAAAUGAAGCAGCCAACGGUCAUCUACAAAUUUGAAGUCCGAAGGAAAUGGCAUCAUUUGUUGUUGUCAACUCCUAUUUUACGUUUUAUUGAGUUGUAUUAGGAAAGCAGGCUUUUGGCGGUUUAAGAAAGUAGACGAGAAGAGGCAGAAGGGUGUGAACGAUUUGUGCGUGGUUUCCAUAUUUCUUCUCUGACCUCAGUUUCUUUUUCUUCUUCUUCAAAAUCUACCUUUUUAAUUUUUGUUAAAUUCUCACUGUGAUAGACACUUUGUCUCAAAAUUAAUCAUUGGGUGUUGAGUUUUGUUUAAUUUCUGAUUUAUCACUGUGUUUGAUUGUGUCCCAGGUUGAGAAUUGAAGCUCAACUAUAACAUUUGGCAUCAAAGUAGCAACGUGACUUGGGUAUGGCUGAAACUAGGAGUAAAUCUAAUGAGGAACACCUUAAGAAGCUAGACAAGGAAAUAUCAGACUUGGGUAUUGAUGCGAACAUCCAUUUACUAUUUAUUUUCUAUUUGGACUAUUAGUUAUAUUCUAUUUGGAUUAUUAUUUAUAUUUCUAUUAUUGAGCUUGUUUAGCAGGUUUGACCCAAGCCCUUCUCAUUAGGGUUUUUGUUUUGUUAUUUAUUUCUGUUUUGUUGCGUAUUUGAGACAGUUGAUGAGUUGAUGAAUUAAAAAAUAGAAUGCUUGGGUUGUUGCCUAUGGCUUCCUCCUUCUCCCUUUUCCCUUGAUUUCUACUUCUUCUCUGGUUUUCUCCCCUCUUUCUCUCCGGCCCUUUCCCCCUUCUUGCUGUCUUCUUCUUCUUCUAGCUGGAAUUCUACUUGCUAGUUGUGCUAUUUUGCUAUUUCUAAUUAUUCUGUAGGAAUCAUCCCUCAUCCUGCAUCAAAGUGGUAUCAGAGCUAAAACUUGGGUAAUUUUUCAUCCAGAAUCCAAAACUUUCUUCCUAUCCUCUUCCCAAAAACUUGUGGAACAGCACAAAUAAAAAAAAUUGUUAUGAGGCAGUAGUUUUCUUGUUCAAUUUUCUUUCUAGUUGAUUAGGCAAAAAAAAAA